Molecule: ribosomal RNA, 466 nt
Filed under: uncultured bacterium
Lineage: Bacteria
Description: partial 16S ribosomal RNA
Rfam family: Bacterial small subunit ribosomal RNA
Source: RNAcentral
ACGAACGCUGGCGGCGUGCUUCACACAUGCCAGUCGAACGGGAAGGCCUCAGCUUGCUGGGGUACUCGAGUGGCGAACGGGUGAGUAACACGUGGGUGAUCUGCCUUGCACUCUGGGAUAAGCUUGGGAAACUGGGUCUAAUACCGGAUAUGAACUGCCUUUAGUGUGGUGGUUGGAAAGUUUUUUCGGUGCAAGAUGAGCUCGCGGCCUAUCAGCUUGUUGGUGGGGUAAUGGCCUACCAAGGCGUCGACGGGUAGCCGGCCUGAGAGGGUGUACGGCCACAUUGGGACUGAGAUACGGCCCAGACUCCUACGGGAGGCAGCAGUGGGGAAUAUUGCACAAUGGGCGGAAGCCUGAUGCAGCGACGCCGCGUGGGGGAUGACGGCCUUCGGGUUGUAAACUCCUUUCGACAGGGACGAAGCUUUUUGUGACGGUACCUGUAUAAGAAGCACCGGCUAACUACGUG